RNAcentral lists this unclassified non-coding RNA (1625 nucleotides) under Hevea brasiliensis (rubber tree). The record is from RNAcentral. Lineage: Eukaryota; Viridiplantae; Streptophyta; Magnoliopsida; Malpighiales; Euphorbiaceae.
UUUUAGGAUUCAUCAAAACUGGGUGUAAUGGAACAACAGCUAUCAUCAAUUGCAAGCCGAAGGGUCGGUUCGCGAGAGAUUUGAAUUCAUGGAGGAAGGGGGAGGAGGAGAAGAGCAAGUAAAACCAAAUAGAGAGAAAAUGGAGGAGCUGAAGGAAGGAGUGGCAUCAAUAGCAUUGUUGCCGUGUGGAUCCAUCUCUGGCCACUUCAUCCAGCUUCCCCAGUCCAUUUGCUAUGGUCUUCAUGGCACUGGUACUUCUUCUGUAUUUGGUUUUUAUAGCAUUGCUUUGCAACUAAUAUUUUUGAAACUGCUGAUGAGAAUUGGUGGUGCCUUUAGGAUGCAUCAUGCAUUGACCAUAAGUAAAGAUGCAUGUGCUUAUGAAUAGUUUAGGAACUUGGAGUCAUGUCUCAAGUUUCAUAUUGUUAAUUUUAUCCAUUUCUCUCCAAUAGUUGAUUUUGUGUCCAAACAAACAAAAUUAAUCCUUUUGUAUUUAUGCAGUAAUAUAUGUCCUACUUUGCCCAUUAUCUGUAGGGACCUGUAAAAGUUUUACCAAGAGCUUUAACAUAUGUGAAAUGCACCUUUGCAACUUAAGUUAUCUUGCUACUCGACUUCUGUCAGUUCCUUGCGUGUAUUUAUUGCGUAUGUGUGCGUGUGUUUAUGAGAUGCAGUGAGCAUUCCAACUUUUGAAUAAGUGCUCAUGCUUCCACACUCAAGCCCUUGUGUGGUAAAUCCUUCCACACUCUUAAGAAAAAAAGGGGUCAAUUGACCGCCCUUUUUGUGUGGUAAAUCCGCCACUGGCUGAAAGCUUUGAUUUCUUCAGUCAGUGGGUUUUUUAGUCAGGGGAAGCUUGGUUAUAUUUAGUGUAUUUAGCAUGUGAGUGUUCCUUUUGGAAAUUUUGGCUAUAAGUAGUAUUGGGAUUUGGAUAGUGAUUGGAUAUAAAUAGGUUCACUUCUCCUUCUUGGUGUCUUCUACUGAAACAAAAUUCCAUGGCUAAACGCUAUUCAACUAGAGUGAGAAAAUGUAGGAAUUCUUGCUUAAAAAAAAAAACACUGUAGGAGCUCUUUCUAUGGGCAUUUUCUUUUUAAGUGUUUUUCCUUUCUGAACCUUUUUCUUUAUGGUGAAAAGAGUUGGCUUGUGAUAGGGAGUGCAGCAGGGGUGAGGAUUAUCGCUUGAUCAAGCUUACAAUCACCGAUUACAAUGUAUGGGGCUGUUUGCGUCUUUGUUUCCUUGUUUCCUAUUUCCUGCUUUUCUUCCUAUGUUUAUGACCAUGUUUUAAUACAAUUUUUUUUUCUGGGGGUAUGAUAGAGUGGGAAAGAGCAAGCUGUUGUUGUUGAGUGUAGAGGCCAUGAUGCUGCUCGCUUCCAUAACAUUGAUAAUGCCGAUGGCUGGGAAAAGGACAUUGUAGCUAUGGCAGAACAAAAGCAUGGGAAGCAAAAGACUUUUGUUUCAUUCGAGUGUGAGACACUGAAAGCUGAGAAAGCUGCAGAAGAGCAUAUCAGGAAGUUCAUGCCAAAAUUAGCUGGGCUAGAUGCUGUUGUCAAUAUUGGGCAAAUGAGGCUAUCAGGGUUGGACUUCGAAGCGGACGACAAGCCAUGAAACAGAUGACGUGAGCUGAUGCAUGGCAU